Molecule: transfer RNA, 72 nt
Filed under: Gemmatimonadaceae bacterium
Lineage: Bacteria; Pseudomonadati; Gemmatimonadota; Gemmatimonadia; Gemmatimonadales; Gemmatimonadaceae
Description: tRNA-Gln
Rfam family: tRNA
About the family: Transfer RNA (tRNA) molecules are approximately 80 nucleotides in length. Their secondary structure includes four short double-helical elements and three loops (D, anti-codon, and T loops). Further hydrogen bonds mediate the characteristic L-shaped molecular structure. tRNAs have two regions of fundamental functional importance: the anti-codon, which is responsible for specific mRNA codon recognition, and the 3' end, to which the tRNAs corresponding amino acid is attached (by aminoacyl-tRNA synthetases). tRNAs cope with the degeneracy of the genetic code in two manners: having more than one tRNA (with a specific anti-codon) for a particular amino acid; and 'wobble' base-pairing, i.e. permitting non-standard base-pairing at the 3rd anti-codon position.
Source: RNAcentral
GGCCCCUUCGUAUAACGGCUAUUACCCCGGCCUUUGGAGCCGGUGACGAUGGUUCGACUCCAUCAGGGGCUA